AGGGGAAGCACGUGUCCUGUCGCAGUGGGGAGACAGCCCCAGGAUCACCCGUCCCCCUGCCUCGGCCCUGGGUCCCCUUCUUGGUCUCUCCAGCGCCAUUGGGUGGGGCCUGUGAGGGCCGCCGCUGGGCCCACCUUCCCUCAGCAAGCCGCGGAGGAGCAAGUGCCCAUCCCCUCGGAGGAACCGAGCCCGCCUGGAGGACAGGACGAGCCAGGGGCCAGAGGACGGUUCCGCCGAAGCCGCGCUGAUGAUGCAUGCAGUGAACGACCCUUGUGAAGUCCGAGAAAUAAGCUCGAUGCCCCUUCAUUGCCGGAUUCUGUUUCCCUUCAUUUCUCCGUUGGUCGGUGACGGUAGGCCCCCAGCAUCUGCGCUGCAAGGCCCUUAACUGCUAGUAAGCUGCUCGCUGCCCAAAGCUGGUGGGGGCGUAACUGCACUCCGGGAACUUCUUUUUCACCUCAUGGAAACUGAACUAUGGAACCCAACUAAUCAAUCACAGCCGGUAUUUAUUGAACACUUAGUACGUCGGGCAGGGAGCACCACAGAACAAAAGUUAAAGAGAAAGUUAGGCCUCACACACGUGGUUGGUGGCAGAGACAAGGCAGUUUUCGGGGCUCCCUGUGCAGCGCUCAGUUUCAUGGGCUCCUUCGUGAGUUUCAUGUGGCGGCUUAAGCAGGAAAGGGGCACUGACAAUAUAAACGAGUCAACAAGAAGCACCAACAGUCAGAGUUCUCGAAGUGUAUGCUUUCCUUUCAGAUAUGAAAGCUCCUCCCGAGGAAGGUGUCUUCCUAAGAGAUACUUGGCCAUUCCCCUGAGUCUUACAGGUUUUCCAGAAGUCCUUUCAGAAUCUUCAUGCCCACCGUCUCCCUCCUCGAACACAGAAGUACUCUUCCCCCCAAAAAGUUGUGAUGAAGGACACGAACCCCGGAGAUAGGCAGAUUGUAGUUUUUAGUUCUACUCUGUUCCGAAUCUGUGAUCUUAGGCAAGUGGAACUCACCUGCAAUGAUAGCUAUUCAAAUGUAGUUGUGGGGUGAUUAAAUAAAACAAUAAAUGUCACAGGGCUUUGACGUUCAAAGAAAAUCAA
Myotis davidii is the source of this 1081-nucleotide long non-coding RNA. RefSeq lists it as uncharacterized. The transcript has 2 exons. Lineage: Eukaryota; Metazoa; Chordata; Mammalia; Chiroptera; Vespertilionidae. The record is from RefSeq and is a predicted model, not a curated record.